Molecule: ribosomal RNA, 180 nt
Filed under: Desulfuribacillus alkaliarsenatis
Lineage: Bacteria; Bacillati; Bacillota; Desulfuribacillia; Desulfuribacillales; Desulfuribacillaceae
Description: partial 16S ribosomal RNA
Rfam family: Bacterial small subunit ribosomal RNA
Source: RNAcentral
AUUUAUUGGAGAGUUUGAUCCUGGCUCAGGACGAACGCUGGCGGCGUGCCUAAUACAUGCAAGUCGAGCGGACAGAGAUGAGAGCUUGCUCUUAUCAAAGUUAGCGGCGGACGGGUGAGUAACACGUGGGCAACCUGCCUGUAAGACUGGGAUAACUUCGGGAAACCGAAGCUAAUACCG